Molecule: ribosomal RNA, 253 nt
Filed under: uncultured bacterium
Lineage: Bacteria
Description: partial 16S ribosomal RNA
Rfam family: Bacterial small subunit ribosomal RNA
Source: RNAcentral
UACGUAGGGUGCGAGCGUUAAUCGGAAUUACUGGGCGUAAAGCGUGCGCAGGCGGUUUUGUAAGACAGAUGUGAAAUCCCCGGGCUUAACCUGGGAACUGCAUUUGUGACUGCAAGACUAGAGUGCGGUAGAGGGUAGUGGAAUUCCCGGUGUAGCAGUGAAAUGCGUAGAUAUCGGGAGGAGCACCAGUGGCGAAGGCGACUACCUGGACCAGCACUGACACUGAGGCACGAAAGCGUGGGGAGCAAACAGG